GAAUAAUUCUGAAAGCUGUUACCACUGCUUUUCUCCCCCUCAUUUUUGGACUAGUAUGUCUGGAAUAGUGGAAAAUGGGUUAGGAUUAACAACUAUUAAUCCAAAUCGUCCUCUCUUAUAUUCUGUUGGUUUCUAUGUUGCGAUCCCAUCUGUUGUAACUCAUCUUUCAACAUAUUUAUGUCUAUGCAGAUGAUUUGGGGAUCA
This 204-nucleotide unclassified non-coding RNA is filed under the name Hevea brasiliensis (rubber tree). Lineage: Eukaryota; Viridiplantae; Streptophyta; Magnoliopsida; Malpighiales; Euphorbiaceae. The record is from RNAcentral.